RNAcentral lists this long non-coding RNA (2815 nucleotides) under Homo sapiens (human). RNAcentral describes it as "HSALNT0365047". The record is from RNAcentral. Lineage: Eukaryota; Metazoa; Chordata; Mammalia; Primates; Hominidae.
CUGGGAGAGAACAUAGGCAGGGUUAGGCAUGGGAGAAUGUGUCUGACUCACAACGAAGGAAUGAAGCAUGCCGGGCCUCAUCUCGGACCUGCACACUGCCCCUCAUUAUGUUCAUGAUCGGGAAAUGGAUAAAGAGUGGCCAGAAGGUGAAAAAGAAGAGAUGGCCCCCUGAAAGGGACAUCCACAUUUAUUUGAGCACCUACCAGCAAAGUGCUGGGCACACAGAAGGACAACGUGAUGAAGCGCCAUCACAUGGCUGGUAGCCUGUGGUGAGUCACCGGACUUCUCGACUCCCACCUCACUAGGGUGGAAGGAACAGUAACCACAACGCUCUGCAACUCGGGCUGCGCCCGCAUGAUUGGAAACAAUCUGUGAAAUUGUGGAGUGAACAACCCCGAAGAAAUAGACUUCUAAUUCUAGCCUUUUGGAGAUUAUUAACCCAACUCCCAGAUUCUACAGAUGAGAAAAGGGAGGCCCAGGGAGGUGGAGAAACAUGUGUAGGAUCACAGAGAUGCCUUCAGCUCUCCAAAACAACAGAAAUGAUCAAAGAUGGAGGCAAGAAGACCAGAGAACCCUAAAUGUUUACUGUCUCCAGUGUGUUUGGAAACAGCUUGGACCAGUGUAGAGUGCUGGAACAGAGAGUCAAGAGCAUCAGGCGCGCCACCCAGAUAGCAUCUGAAAGAUUGUAAACAGGAUGAUUCACAAACUGGUGGCAGCAGCUAAAAGCAGUGCAGUUCGCGACCCUCAGCACACGCCAAGAUUCUAAAUGGGAUGUUGCGACAACAAAGCAGCCUGAAGAUUCUAAAACAUAAUGGUGUCACCAGGACAUUCACAGGGUGCUGUAACCUGUAACUGACAAGCAUACUCAUCAUCAUUUCUCCUUGGGCAUGCUGCAUCCUUGCGCUCCACUGGGCCUCCUGUUGCAUUGCUAUUUAUUUGCAUCUACAAGCAGGGGAGCAAGUAUGCUGCGGAAAUAGCCCCAGAGAGGUGUCUGAUUCCCAUAGGCCCUUGCAGCCAGCUACAACUGAAUGAUUUCCGAUAUCAGUUACUGAAAAUUCUGACCAUGAUAUGCAGACCAUGGCAGAUCUUAAUGACAAUAACAUCAUCUCACAUUUUGAUGGCGUUUAACAGUUUACAAAGUGCUUUCACAUACAUUAUCACAUUUAAUCCCAGUGAGGUCGAUAGUCUUCUUCUCCAUUUUAUUGGCAGCUUGGUGUAGUGGAAAGAGCUGUGGAAUCAGACAGACUUAAGUUCAGAUUCUGCCUCUGACUACCAAACCAUGGACAAUUUGCUUCAUUUCUCUCCCUUUUCUUACCUAUAGGAUGAGGAAUCAUUUCUAUUUCCGAGGUUUGUGGUGAAAAUUAAAUAACAUAUGUAAAGACAUACAAUAUAGGGCCCGAUGCAUAGAAGUACUCGAUAACCAUUAGUUUCUGUCCACUUACAGAGGAAGAAAAUGAAGCUUAAGAGGUUAAGGGAGUUGCUCAAAGUAAUAGCUAGUAAAUGGCAGAACUGAGACUUCAUUUAUUUUACAAAUAUUAUUGAACACCUACUAUAUGCUGGUGCCUUGGGCAUAGGAAAGUGGAUGAGUCAUAAUUCUAGUUUUUGAGAUGUUCACAGUAGAGCGGUGGAAUCUGAAAUGCAAAUAAUCAAUUAUAAUCGAGCGUAAUCUGAGAGGCAAAAAGUACUUAGGGAAUAUCCUAAAGCCAUGGGUGCACCCUAGAGUAUCUACACAAGAGAUAAGUCUGAGGAAGAGGAACCUUCCAGGAGGCAGCAGUAGAGUUACACCUGAAAUAAAAUGUUGGCAGGUGGAUGAGGGUGAGCAAGGAGAGGAGCAUUCAGGCGAAGACAACAGUGUGUGCAUUCAUCAGGAGGGUCAAAGGAGCCUGGCAUGUCCACUGCAGCACAGAAGAGAACCUGAGCAGACAGGAGAGAGAAGGGAGAGGAGGAGGCAAGGAAGCAGGAGUGAGAAGAAUGAAGGGGCUUGCAGGUAAUGCUGAGAAGCGUGCAUCUUUGUCAGUCCACACUGGCACAAACUCUGUGAUGAUUUACAGAGAGAGCCAACCUGGUCAGAUUUGCAUUUUUGAAAUUGUGGCAGCAAUGUGAAAGAUUGACUAGAGGAGGGGAUAAUGGAGGCAGUAGUUCAAUGAGAGAUAAUUAGGCUAUGAACUAAGAAAGUGGCAGAGCAGACAAUUUCAAGCGGUAUAGCAGAGGCAGAAUUGACAGGAUGUGGCCAUUAACUGGAUGUCAAGACAGGAGAGACAGAGAGAACUCUAGGAGGACUCCCAGGCUAUGAGCUUUGGUGGCUGGGCGAACGAAGAUGUCCCCCACUGACGUAGAAGGAGAGGACAUUUGAAGAGAUGAUAAUAAAUUCAUGUGGACAUGUUGACUCUGAGAGACUCAUGGAUAUCAAGAAGGAGGUGUUCAGUAGACAGCUAAAAAUAUGAGUCUGGAGUUUGGGAGAGGACUCACAAUUAGAUGCAUUGAUCUAGGGAUCAAUGGUUUUUAGACAAUGGUUGAAGCUGUUUUUUUAUGCCAAGAGGAUAGAGCAAGAAGAAAAGUGGGUCCUGGAGAACUCUAGGGAAUAUCAAUGUUUAGGUGCUAGAAUGAGGAUUGUUGGAGAGAUGGAACUACCAGGAGAAAGGGAGAGCUCAGAGGCCAGGGAAGGCAAGCAUUUUUUGAUGAUGAAAGUAGAGGAAAGUAUCAAAUUCCACCAAAGGAUCAAAGAAGAUGAGAACUGAGAUAUGCCUGGCAUUUGGGCAAUGAUAAGAUCACUUUGGCAACUUCAGUUUUAGACAAAGUGGUUAAAAAAGAGGCU